UACGGAGGGAGCUAGCGUUGUUCGGAUUUACUGGGCGUAAAGGGCGCGUAGGCGGUCGUGACAAGUCACUUGUGAAAUCUCCGGGCUUAACUCGGAACGGUCAAGUGAUACUGUCGGACUAGAGUACAGAAGGGGCAACUGGAAUUCUCGGUGUAGCGGUGAAAUGCGUAGAUAUCGAGAGGAACACCUGCGGCGAAGGCGGGUUGCUGGGCUGAUACUGACGCUGAGGCGCGAAAGCCAGGGGAGCGAACGGG
This 254-nucleotide ribosomal RNA is filed under the name uncultured bacterium. Its description in RNAcentral is "partial 16S ribosomal RNA". It matches the Rfam family "Bacterial small subunit ribosomal RNA", at positions 524 to 776 of the family's 1533-position model. The record is from RNAcentral.